GCGGGAGCCGAGCCGUGAGGGCGCGCGGGGUGUGGGAGGUGCGCGGGGCCCUCGCUCUGGCCCAUAGAGAACAGCGUGGAAAAAAGCCCCAACGUGCCGGGCCAGUGGCGCAAUGGAUAACGCGUCUGACUACGGAUCAGAAGAUUGUGCUAUGUGGGGUGUGGAAAAACAUGUUUGGCAGCAGCUCCUGGCUUGGAGAGUGUAAACGUGUCUGAAAGUGUCCAAAUCUGUCUGCAUAGCAGGGGGAGAAUGGAAGUGAAGUUUUCUCCUUCAACAGAACCCCGUGCUUGGGAAGUAUCAGAAGCAUCAGAACAAGGCCGUGUACUGCUCCAGCUUGUUACCUCUUACCUAAAGAUUACCUGAAGUAAGAUUUUCUGCACAUCUACAACAGGAUAGAAAUGAAGGGAGCUGACCCUACAGCAUUAUAAAAAGAGCAACACAAGAGACAUGAGGAAGCAAAACUUGCAAUAAGCAGAUCCAUCAGAGGCUCUGGCCUUACACUACCUCUCCUUGUUUGCAGGCUCCAUUAGCAGUC
RNAcentral lists this long non-coding RNA (535 nucleotides) under Chloebia gouldiae (Gouldian finch). RNAcentral describes it as "Erythrura gouldiae (Gouldian finch) lncRNA (ENSEGOG00005000302.1)". The stretch from base 99 to 195 matches the Rfam family "tRNA". The record is from RNAcentral. Lineage: Eukaryota; Metazoa; Chordata; Aves; Passeriformes; Passeridae.